CAAGGAAGAGAUGGACGAGGUUGUGCUGCUCCUUUCAUCUAUCUAAAUUGCUAUAUGAAAAGCUCUGACUUACCAAUCUGGUGAAUAUCACCACCGACUCUCAUUUUCAGGCAUAGUAUAUGUGAGGUAUUGUACCAGCUAACAUGAUUUGUUUUGCGUGCAGGAAGAUUAAGGAGAUGGCCAAUAGAUCAGUUUUGGAGGCAACGCUUCUUUGGUAUCCCUGCUUCAUAGCCUAUGUUUUUCAUUGCCUCCUCCACGUAGCUCUCUCAGUAACAGCGAAGAUAAUUUGGUGUGGGUUAGUUCUUAAUUAAUCUAUGUCAACAUGGUUUCAAUAGCCAGAUUCAUGCGGGAUGUGAAAACCAGGGGCUGAUGAAAGGAUGCUUGGUGGGGAUGGCAUGCUUUAUUCGUUCUGCAAAAUUCUCAUGCAUCUUCUCAACUUUCUACUUAUUCUUUCUUUCCCUGACUAGCAGGUCAAUGUGCCGUGGAAAGUUGAUCUCAUC
This 500-nucleotide long non-coding RNA is filed under the name Triticum aestivum (bread wheat). Its description in RNAcentral is "long non-coding RNA (TAES_LNC012646)". Lineage: Eukaryota; Viridiplantae; Streptophyta; Magnoliopsida; Poales; Poaceae. The record is from RNAcentral.